CUCCCCUAAUGUGAUGAAGUUGCUCUAAAAAUGGCAAUUCGGCUCCUAUGACGAUUGUUCCGUCGAAGAUUCCAACUUGGGGCUACUUCUUCAGGCAAAGUUCUCGGAGAGCAACUCAGGGCUUUGGAGCUCCGGUGGCUCGGUCUUUUUCGAGUAGAGACUCGUUAGAUCUUAGCCAAGUUCCAUCGAAUGCGGACACCACUAAUCACAUAAGGCGCAAUAAUUUAUUAUCUCCCUUGACCUAAUUUUAG
Molecule: long non-coding RNA, 251 nt
Organism: Arabidopsis thaliana (thale cress)
Lineage: Eukaryota; Viridiplantae; Streptophyta; Magnoliopsida; Brassicales; Brassicaceae
Product: other RNA
Exons: 2
Source: RefSeq